GAGUGAUCUAGCCAUGAGCAGGUUGAAGGUGCGGUAACACGUACUGGAGGACCGAACCCACUUAUGUUGAAAAAUGAGGGGAUGACCUGUGACUAGGGGUGAAAGGCCAAUCAAACUCGGAAAUAGCUCGUACUCCCCGAAAUGCAUUUAGGUGCAGCGUUGAGCGAAAGUUUUAUAGAGGUAGAGCUACUGAUUGGAUGCGGGGGCUUCACCGCCUACCAAUUCCUGACAAACUCCGAAUGCUAUAAAAUGAUGCACAGCAGUGAGGGCAUGGGUGCUAAGGUCCAUGUCCGAGAGGGAAAGAACCCAGACCAUCAGCUAAGGUCCCAAAAUAUAUGUUAAGUUGAAUAAACGAGGUUGGAUUGCACAGACAGCUAGGAUGUUGGCUUGGAAGCAGCCAUUCAUUUAAAGAGUGCGUAACAGCUCACUGGUCGAGCGGUCCCGCAUGGAUAAUGAUCGGGCAUAAGCACAUUACCGAAGCUAUGGCAUCGAAAGAUGGGUAGGGGAGCAUUCUGUUCGGCGCCGAAGGUGCACUGUGAGGUGUGCUGGAGCGUACAGAAACGAAAAUGUAGGCAUAAGUAACGAUAAUGCGGGCGAGAAACCCGCACACCGAAAGACUAAGGUUUCCUCAGCGAUGCUAAUCAGCUGAGGGUUAGUCGGGACCUAACGCGAACCCGAAAGGGGUAGUGGAUGGACAACAGGUUAAUAUUCCUGUACCUGCUCACACUAAACGUGACGGAGGCGAAAAGUUAGUGCGUACUGACGGAAUAGUACGUUGAAGGGAUUGGUAACAACCCGAUAGUACACUAAGGCUACGGCCGCGGUGAUAAUCUAGCAAAUCGACUUCCAAGAAAAGCAAGUGAAGCAGCCCGUACCCUAAACCGCCACAGGUAGU
This 895-nucleotide ribosomal RNA is filed under the name Oxyrrhis marina. RNAcentral describes it as "partial Bacterial large subunit ribosomal RNA". It matches the Rfam family "Bacterial large subunit ribosomal RNA", at positions 723 to 1667 of the family's 2925-position model. The record is from RNAcentral. Lineage: Eukaryota; Dinophyceae; Oxyrrhinales; Oxyrrhinaceae.